CUUCUUCUUCUUCUUCUUCUUCUUCUUCUUCUUCUUCAUUCGCCUCGCGCCCUCUCUCUCAACUCAAACACAUGGACAUUAUUGACCUUCUUCCCAACUCCACCUUCGAUUUUCGAUUUCAACUUCCUCGCCAAGCACAAGUCUCUCUCUCUCUCUCUCUCUCUCUCUCUCUCUCUCUACUUUCUUUUUAUUUUAUUUAUUUUAUUAAUUAAUUAAUGAAUUAAUUGUGCAGGAUUUUUUGGAGAGGAGAGAGGUUAGAGAGUUUAUGAGCGGCGCCCUAGCUGGUGCUAUGACUAAAGCUAUACUUGCUCCACUUGAAACCAUUAGGUAUUGCUAUUGCUAUUCCUUUUGCAUGCUAUUCCUAUUGCUAUUGCUAUUACUCUCAACUCAAACACAUGGACAUUAUUGACCUUCUUCCCAACUCCACCUUCGAUUUUCGAUUUCAACUUCCUCGCCAAGCACAAGUCUCUCUCUCUCUCUCUCUCUCUCUCUCUCUCUCUCUACUUUCUUUUUAUUUUAUUUAUUUUAUUAAUUAAUUAAUGAAUUAAUUGUGC
Molecule: long non-coding RNA, 554 nt
Filed under: Cicer arietinum (chickpea)
Lineage: Eukaryota; Viridiplantae; Streptophyta; Magnoliopsida; Fabales; Fabaceae
Description: long non-coding RNA (CARI_LNC002148)
Source: RNAcentral